UUACGGCCAUAUCAUGUUGAAAUACCAGUUCCCGUACAGUCAUCGAAUUUAAGCAACGCCGAGGCUGGUCAGUAUCUAGAUGGGUGACUUCUUGGGAAUACCAGAUGCUGUAA
Molecule: non-coding RNA, 113 nt
Organism: Acanthosepion pharaonis
Lineage: Eukaryota; Metazoa; Mollusca; Cephalopoda; Sepiida; Sepiidae
Source: the annotation of a GenBank genome assembly